This 449-nucleotide ribosomal RNA is filed under the name uncultured bacterium. Its description in RNAcentral is "partial 16S ribosomal RNA". It matches the Rfam family "Bacterial small subunit ribosomal RNA", at positions 28 to 523 of the family's 1533-position model. The record is from RNAcentral.
GACGAACGCUGGCGGCGUGCCUAACACAUGCAAGUCGAACGAGACCUUCGGGUCUAGUGGCGCACGGGUGCGUAACGCGUGGGAAUCUGCCCUUGGGUUCGGAAUAACAGUUAGAAAUGACUGCUAAUACCGGAUAAUGACGUAAGUCCAAAGAUUUAUCGCCCAAGGAUGAGCCCGCGUAGGAUUAGCUUGUUGGUGAGGUAAAGGCUCACCAAGGCGACGAUCCUUAGCUGGUCUGAGAGGAUGAUCAGCCACACUGGGACUGAGACACGGCCCAGACUCCUACGGGAGGCAGCAGUGGGGAAUAUUGGACAAUGGGCGAAAGCCUGAUCCAGCAAUGCCGCGUGAGUGAUGAAGGCCUUAGGGUUGUAAAGCUCUUUUACCCGGGAUGAUAAUGACAGUACCGGGAGAAUAAGCCCCGGCUAACUCCGUGCCAGCCGCCGCCGUAA